Long non-coding RNA from Penaeus monodon (black tiger shrimp), 748 nucleotides. RefSeq lists it as uncharacterized. The transcript is spliced from 2 exons. Lineage: Eukaryota; Metazoa; Arthropoda; Malacostraca; Decapoda; Penaeidae. The record is from RefSeq and is a predicted model, not a curated record.
UAGUUGGCUGUUAACAACGGGUAGCGAGACCUGGCACGUCGAGCAAGAAUUGAUUCUUAAGCGAGCGGCUCCGACCCUUGAGGCAGUUACAACUCCAUCUCAGUUGAGGGCAGAUGAACGAGACUUAUUGUAAUGAGAUGACCCAGCGGCGGCAGGGGCGAGGGACACUUGCCAGUGUCUGCCCCUGGUAAGAAGCUACGGCUCUGUACCAGGGGCAGGCACCCAACCUUUCGUCUCCCCGAUCGACUUGUGGCUAAUCGACCCCUGCACGGAUCCCGGACUCCCUCUGGCAACUGACUCUUACCCCCCCCCCGCCCCUCCCGCUCAGCCUCCAGGAGCAAACGUCAGCCGAACAUCGUACCUGCCAGCCCUGCAAACACCCCUCUGCCCUCGGAUGCAGCUCUUCCCAUCCGCGAGCGAACCGAAAGAGAUCACCUUUAGUUCUCGUCGAUCAUUUCUCCACAUUAUAUAUUGCGAAGAUUUCUUGGAAUCUUCUAUCAGUUUAUAUUCCAGCUAACUGAUACCGAAUUCCACGAAUAGUAAACUCACAGAAGCUAAAUCGUAUCUUUGUGUAUCAAUUUACUCAUGAUAAAUAUGUUGCUUGUAUCAAGCAUCCAUUUAAAAGUAGUAAUGUUUCUUGAUAGAGCUUUUCCUCUUUGCUCUGAGCACUGUGCUGUGUUUAAAGUACAAUAUGUUGUGCUCCUGUAUAAGAGGUAAUCACGGGUUCAAUAAAUUUUAUUACAAUAAA